RNAcentral lists this ribosomal RNA (301 nucleotides) under uncultured bacterium. Its description in RNAcentral is "partial 16S ribosomal RNA". It matches the Rfam family "Bacterial small subunit ribosomal RNA", at positions 509 to 808 of the family's 1533-position model. The record is from RNAcentral.
CAGUAGCCGCGGUAAUACGUAUGUCACAAGCGUUAUCCGGAUUUAUUGGGCGUAAAGCGCGUCUAGGUGGUUAUGUAAGUCUGAUGUGAAAAUGCAGGGCUCAACUCUGUAUCGCGUUGGAAACUGUGUAACUAGAGUACUGGAGAGGUAAGCGGAACUACAAGUGUAGAGGUGAAAUUCGUAGAUAUUUGUAGGAAUGCCGAUGGGGAAGCCAGCUUACUGGACAGAUACUGACGCUAAAGCGCGAAAGCGUGGGUAGCAAACAGGAUUAGAUACCCCCGUAGUCCCUGUCUCUUAUACA